CUACGGGACGCUCCAGCUGAGGAUCUUUUACAAUGCACGAAAGUGUGAUAGAGCGAGCCAGAGUGUUGUUCUUAGAACAACUUUUAUCUGCUGUAAAAAGGCAGAUGAAUAAGGACUGGGCAAGACCGGUGCCAGCCGCCGCGGUAAUACCGGCGUGUCCAAGUUGCAUCCAUUUUUAUUGGGUCUAAAACAUCCGUAGCUUGCUUUGUAAGUUUCUUGUGAAAUCUCAUGUCUCAAACAUGAGGCUUGCAAGAAAUACUGCAUAGCUAGAGACCGGAAGACGUAAGGAGUAUGAUUGAGGUAGCGGUAAAAUGUGUUAAUCUUGAUCAGACUAACAACGGCGAAGGCACCUUACGAGUACGGAUCUGACAGUGAGGGAUGAAGGCCAGGGGCGCAAAACGGAUUAGAUACCCUUGUAGUC
RNAcentral lists this ribosomal RNA (421 nucleotides) under uncultured archaeon. RNAcentral describes it as "partial 16S ribosomal RNA". It matches the Rfam family "Archaeal small subunit ribosomal RNA", at positions 323 to 746 of the family's 1478-position model. The record is from RNAcentral.